GUAGUAUAGAGGACUACCAUGGUGGUAACGGGUAACGGAGAAUCAGGGUUUGAUUCCGGAGAAGGAGCCUGAGAAACGGCUACUACUUCCAAGGAAGGCAGCAGGCGCGCAAAUUACCCAAUCCCGACACGGGGAGGUAGUGACAAAAAAUAACAAUACCGAUCUAAAUACUAGUUUGGUAAUUGGAAUGAGUACAAUCUAAAACCUUUAACGAGUAUCAAUUGGAGGGCAAGUCUGGUGCCAGCAGCCGCGGUAAUUCCAGCUCCAAUAGCAUAUAUUAAAGUUGUUGCAGUUAAAAAGCUCGUAGUUGGAUUUUGAAGUUUAUAUAUUUUAACCCAUUUUUGUAAAUGCGUAUGUUGAAAUAUAUACUUCUCCUUACUAGUUUUUCAUUAUGUUUCUUUAUUGAUUCAUAAUUUCAUUUCUUUCGGGGAGUGAGUGAUAGUUAGACCUAUUGGGUUGAAGAUGUGGAUAAUCCUUUUUGGUUUGUUCUGCUUUAAUUCAAUAACUAAUUAUUAGAAUACUAGUUCUUUUACUUUGAGUAAAUUAGAGUGUUCAAGGCAAGCAUAAUUUUAAUGUUGUAAUGAAUACUAUUAGCAUGGGAUAAUGGAACAGGACACGUAUUCUAGUUUUCCGUUGGUUUCUAGAAUUUUUUGGUUCUUCUUUUUUGAGGAGAGCCGUAGUGUAAUGAUUAAAAGGGACAGUUGGGGGCAUUCGUAUUUCGAUGUCAGAGGUGAAAUUCUUGGAUUUUCGAAAGACGAACUUCUGCGAAAGCAUUUGUCAAAGAUGUUUUCAUUAAUCAAGAACGAAAGUUAGGGGAUCGAAGACGAUCAGAUACCGUCGUAGUCUUAACCAUAAACUAUGCCGACCAGGGAUUGGAAGAUGUAUUAUCCUAUGUAACAGUAGGAAAACUCCUUCAGUACCUUACGAGAAAUCAUAAGUCUUUGGGUUCUGGGGGGAGUAUGGUCGCAAGGCUGAAACUUAAAGGAAUUGACGGAAGGGCACCACCAGGAGUGGAGCCUGCGGCUUAAUUUGACUCAACACGGGAAAACUUACCAGGUCCAGACACAGUUAGGAUUGACAGAUUGAGAGCUCUGUCUUGAUUCUGUGGGUGGUGGUGCAUGGCCGUUCUUAGUUGGUGGAGUGAUUUGUCUGGUUAAUUCCGAUAACGAACGAGACCUCAGCCUGCUAAUUAGUUGUGCAAAUGAUAACAUUCCAUUUGGAAGGGGGUUUCUUUGUUAGCUUGGAGUUUGACUCUGAGAUUUUAAAGAAAAACUCGUUUUCAUUUGUUAGGAAUUUGAGAGCUUACGUUUGAUGAUUCCGAUAAUGACUUCUUAGAGGGACACUUGGUGUUUAACCAAGGGAAGUUUGAGGCAAUAACAGGUCUGUG
RNAcentral lists this ribosomal RNA (1387 nucleotides) under Paramoeba invadens. RNAcentral's name for it is "SSU rRNA". It matches the Rfam family "Eukaryotic small subunit ribosomal RNA", at positions 328 to 1466 of the family's 1831-position model. Lineage: Eukaryota; Discosea; Flabellinia; Dactylopodida; Paramoebidae. The record is from RNAcentral.